UUCUUUCUUCCUCUUUUCUUUCUUCUCCAGUCUUCCUCUUCGCUGCGCCUCCACACCACCUCCAUCUUUAUCUAAGCAUCAGAGAAUCACACAGAAAAUCAACGAUUACUUGAACAGAUUCUCAGAUUUAAUCUCAUAUGAAGAUGGUCCUUCAUUAAAAAAUAAAUGUUAUCAGGUUCUUCAAACUCAUCUUCUCCCCUCUCUCUCGGUGAUUCCCUCAAUGUUUUCCAGGAUGCGAAUAGAUUGAUUAAACAAUCAGAUAGAUUUACUCAUCAAGUUGGAGAGAUUAUUGCUCCGUUGCUACGGUGUAUACAGAAUUAUCGAUCUGGGAAAUUUGAUUUCGAUUUUGAAUUUGAGAGUUAUUUUGUUUUGGGGGUUUUAGGGUUUGUUGAUGAAAUGUAGAAUGUUGUAGUGCUUUGCUUCAGGAGUUUAGGAGUUGGAAUCUGCUUGGGGUUUGGAUAAUAAUGAAGGUCUUCCGAUGUAGGAUUUGGUUUUUGAAAAUUGUUUUGAAGGUUAUGUAUCUAUUCGAAGGUAGAAGUGAAAAAAAGUACAUUUGUUGGAUGGGUUUUUCAUGUAAAGCAUGAUUUUUGUUCUUUUUUGAUUGUUUUCUGUUUAAGUGUGUGAUAAGCAGUAGCAUAUGUUUAGUAUUGUGUUAGUCAAGUUUUCUUAGUAGGCUUUGAUUGUGUUUAGCACGUUCAGAGGUCGUUGUUGGUUAUUUUGUUGAUUUUUGUUACAUUCUUAACAUCUAGCGUAUGAUGAUAUAUUCUCGGGUGAUGCAAAUCUAGCUUCUAAAGCGACCUUUCUUCAGCUGUAUUGUUUUCAAACAUUUGUAUUGUCAGGCUUUAUAUUUGAAUUUACAAACAUUUGCAUGUUAUUGUGCCUUAGCUAUAUGGACUGUUUGCUGACGAUUAACUCUAAGGUGGAAAUAAAUUCCACUUGCAAUAUAUGCACCUUCAAAUCACUCCAAGGCAUUGCUUAAGUUAAUGAUCCUUUUUGUUAAUCAGAAAAAAGGUUCAGAUAUUGUUCUGCUAGAAGUAUCGGGGUCCAAGGUAUGGUCCAAGUGAAUUGAAAGAUUUAUCGUAAAGAUACCAUAUUGCUGCAGGAUGGGGAUGAAUUGAUUUUUAGUUCAUCUGGUAAAUAUGUUAUAUUUUCCAGCAACUAGCAACUAAUAAUUCUGGAAGUCAAAGUGUGCCAGCUAAAGGAAGAAACAUUGGAGCAAGGUCUGUAGGCUCCAGAGCUGCUACUCAAGCUCGCCACAUCUCCCAUAGUGAUGCAGAUGCACAAUGAGGCAAUGGUCGGGCUCUGAAGUAUCUGGCUCACUGACUCCUGAUCUUGGUGACAGCUGCCACAUUAAGAAAUGUAGUUCUUCAGGUGACAAGCGAGCUGGUGUUUCCGCAGCCUGUUAUAUUGGCGGAAUGAGCAAGGAUGUUGUACGGGAACCAGUACUUGCUAUGGAGAAUAAAAUCCAAAGAACAUCCAGAGCUUCAUCAGGCAAUCUCACUCUGAUUAUUUCAAUAUCGUCUCUCAAGAGUUCUGAAUCCCUUUAAGGCAAGAAAGGUUUCGACGCUGUUACUCUGUAAAGCUUGAGUCUCUGUGAGAUGUGGUGGUAUUGAUGAUUGAAGGUCUUGAUAAUAUAUGAAGAGCGAAUGAGUCCAACCUCCACUUGAAAUGAAACUUGUUGCAUCUGUUCAUGUCAAGGUAUCUUAUUCAUCAGGGUACCUUGACAUGUUCAAGAAUGCCAUUUCAACCAAGAUGGAAGUGAAUCUAGGAGGGCUUAAUUACUCAGCUCUUCUUUUUGUUAAGGAUUCCUAAAGAGAAUAAAUCUCAAGAAUAUGAAGCUGCAGUUGUUCUUCCAAAUGAACUCAAAUGACUCAUUUUUUUUUCUUUUCUGUUUUCACUGGAUUGUAGAUUGUAAAAAAAACGGUUUGUAAUUUUGUUUCAGGUAUAAAUUUCAUUGUAUUGCAGGCCUGUAAACUGAGAACAAAUCCAGUGAUGACCUGUAUUGCAGGCCUGUAAAAUGGAUGCCCGGGUCUAUGAAAAAAACACGUGUCAUCGUUAUCAAAAAUAAAAGAUGUUUUCGCUGGUUUAA
Molecule: long non-coding RNA, 2089 nt
Organism: Papaver somniferum (opium poppy)
Lineage: Eukaryota; Viridiplantae; Streptophyta; Magnoliopsida; Ranunculales; Papaveraceae
Exons: 8
Source: RefSeq, a predicted model, not a curated record